GCCCGCUCAGAAACUACAAAGGAAUUGACGGGGGCCCGCACAAGCGGUGGAGUAUGUGGUUUAAUUCGAUGCAACGCGAAGAACCUUACCUGGUCUUGACAUCCCGGAGACCCUUAGGAAACUAGGGGGUGCUUCCAUCUGGAAGAAUCUGGAGACAGGUGCUGCAUGGCUGUCGUCAGCUCGUGUCGUGAGAUGUUGGGUUAAGUCCCGCAACGAGCGCAACCCUUGCCUUUAGUUGCCAGCAGUUCGGCUGGGCACUCUAAAGGGACUGCCGGUGUUAAACCGGAGGAAGGUGGGGAUGACGUCAAGUCCUCAUGGCCUUUAUGACCAGGGCUACACACGUACUACAAUGGCCGAUACAAAGGGCAGCGACACUGCGAGGUGAAGCCAAUCCCGUAAAAUCGGUCUCAGUCCGGAUUGGAGUCUGCAACUCGACUCCAUGAAGUUGGAAUCGCUAGUAAUCGUGGAUCAGCAUGCCACGGUGAAUACGUUCCCGGGCCUU
RNAcentral lists this ribosomal RNA (502 nucleotides) under uncultured Desulfobulbus sp. Its description in RNAcentral is "bacterial SSU rRNA". It matches the Rfam family "Bacterial small subunit ribosomal RNA", at positions 903 to 1382 of the family's 1533-position model. Lineage: Bacteria; Pseudomonadati; Thermodesulfobacteriota; Desulfobulbia; Desulfobulbales; Desulfobulbaceae. The record is from RNAcentral.